AUGCCAAAAGCACCACUUGGAAGCUGGAGCCUAUCAAAAAACUAUCCUUCCCACCAUAUAAAGAUCGAUCGAUCGAUAAGAUAUCAGCUCAAAGCCAAAGCAUGCACUUGCAUCUCUGCCCCAUACAUGGCCUCACUUGGAUUUCCAUCCAUAUCCAUACCCAUUCUCUUCUUGAUCACUCUGCUGUCCACUGUACCCACAUCUUCUUCUCCUGGUCCAAGCAAGAGCAAUGGCAGCGAUACUGAUCUUGCCGCCCUGCUGGCUUUCAAAGGACAGCUCUCAGACCCUCUCGGCAUCCUUGCCAGCAACUGGACCACCGGCACGAAUUUCUGCCACUGGUUUGGCGUUGCAUGCAGUCGGCGUUGCAUGCAGUUGGCACAAACUUAA
RNAcentral lists this ribosomal RNA (387 nucleotides) under Triticum aestivum (bread wheat). Its description in RNAcentral is "partial small subunit ribosomal RNA". Lineage: Eukaryota; Viridiplantae; Streptophyta; Magnoliopsida; Poales; Poaceae. The record is from RNAcentral.